UUCCUACUGGCUUAGAUGGUAAAGAAUCUGCCUGUGAUGCAGGAGACCUGGGUUCAAUCCUGAGUUGGGAA
RNAcentral lists this transfer RNA (71 nucleotides) under Bos taurus (domestic cattle). It matches the Rfam family "tRNA". Rfam says of the family: Transfer RNA (tRNA) molecules are approximately 80 nucleotides in length. Their secondary structure includes four short double-helical elements and three loops (D, anti-codon, and T loops). Further hydrogen bonds mediate the characteristic L-shaped molecular structure. tRNAs have two regions of fundamental functional importance: the anti-codon, which is responsible for specific mRNA codon recognition, and the 3' end, to which the tRNAs corresponding amino acid is attached (by aminoacyl-tRNA synthetases). tRNAs cope with the degeneracy of the genetic code in two manners: having more than one tRNA (with a specific anti-codon) for a particular amino acid; and 'wobble' base-pairing, i.e. permitting non-standard base-pairing at the 3rd anti-codon position. The record is from Rfam by way of RNAcentral. Lineage: Eukaryota; Metazoa; Chordata; Mammalia; Artiodactyla; Bovidae.